CAGCCGCCGCGGGAAUACAGAGGGUGCGAGCGUUAAUCGGAUUUACUGGGCGUAAAGCGUGCGUAGGCGGCUUUUUAAGUCGGAUGUGAAAUCCCUGAGCUUAACUUAGGAAUUGCAUUCGAUACUGGGAAGCUAGAGUAUGGGAGAGGAUGGUAGAAUUCCAGGUGUAGCGGUGAAAUGCAUAGAGAUCUGGAGGAAUACCGAUGGCGAAGGCAGCCAUCUGGCCUAAUACUGACGCUGAGGUACGAAAGCAUGGGGAGCAAACAGGAUUAGAUACCCCGGUAGUCCCUGUCUCUUAUAC
Molecule: ribosomal RNA, 301 nt
Filed under: uncultured bacterium
Lineage: Bacteria
Description: partial 16S ribosomal RNA
Rfam family: Bacterial small subunit ribosomal RNA
Source: RNAcentral